UCCAUUAUAUGCCUUAUCACCCUGUAGCCCAAGCCUGGUUGCCCACUGAAGCUAAGCAGGGCUGAGCCUGGUCAGUACCUGGAUGGGAGACCUCCUGGGAAAACUAGGUUGCUGCUGGAA
This is a ribosomal RNA of Sinocyclocheilus anshuiensis, 120 nucleotides long. The record is from Ensembl. NCBI's taxonomy places the organism in Eukaryota, Metazoa, Chordata, Actinopteri, Cypriniformes, Cyprinidae.